Molecule: ribosomal RNA, 253 nt
Filed under: uncultured bacterium
Lineage: Bacteria
Description: partial 16S ribosomal RNA
Rfam family: Bacterial small subunit ribosomal RNA
Source: RNAcentral
UACAGAGGUCUCGAGCGUUAGGCGGAAUCACUGGGCUUAAAGCGUGUGUAGGCGGAUCGGUAAGUACCUUGUGAAAUCCCACAGCUUAACUGUGGAACUGCUUGGUAUACUGCCAGUCUUGAGCCAGCUAGGGGCUACCGGAACAAAUGGUGGAGCGGUGAAAUGCGUAGAUAUCUGGAGGAACACCGGUGGCGAAAGCGGCUCACUGGACCGUCUCUGACGCUGAGGUGCGAAAGCCAGGGUAGCGAACGGG